Molecule: long non-coding RNA, 1697 nt
Filed under: Vigna radiata
Lineage: Eukaryota; Viridiplantae; Streptophyta; Magnoliopsida; Fabales; Fabaceae
Description: long non-coding RNA (VRAD_LNC012210)
Source: RNAcentral
AAAUUUUGAAAGUACAUUUUGGGACAUUAGAAGGGCUGCCACAUAAUUCAAGACUCUCCACAUAGGCAUAUUAAAUUUAGUUAUAUUGUAAUUUAGUUGUUUAGGAUUUUUUUUGAAUCAACUUGUACAUUGUUGGCCAAUUUUGGCAAAAGAUGUUGGGCCCAAAAAUGGGGGUUGGCUGACUUGGCACCCUAGGUUUUUGGUGCCAACCGCCACCCACAUAAAAGGAGGCACAUUCCAUUUUGAAGGGGUGCUAGAAUGGUGAGCACGGUUACGUCCACUAGCCGCCACCACAUAAGACAUUUCAUAUUUUUCAUUUAAGGCACACAGAUAUGGAGAAGAGGUGACGACUGGGGAAUAAAAGGGGGAUGUCCAGCAAUAGGAGAAAGUUGGAGGUGUCACGGAAAGAGCACACACGCUCAUUUCAUUUUAGGCUGGAAAAGGCGCUGCAUUCAUUUUCGUCUUGAGAGAAACUCGCGAUGAUUUAUCUUUGGAGCUGCAAGCGAUGUGCACACAUUGGACGUCCUGGAAGAAGUGAUGCACACGAAGACAUUGAUUCAAUUGCAAAGGCAAGCGGUGAUUCACUUUCUUUUUAUGUGCUUUGGAGUGCUACAUGGUGCUUCAUGAUGGAGAGCUCCAAAGGGUUUCCUUGAUUUAUCUUUAAGCCUGCAUCGAGAAUCUUUAAUGCAUUAAUGGAAGCACCUUGCUCGUUUAUCUUACUUUACUGUUAGCGUGUUUUUCUUUAAACUGUUGAUUCUGUGAUUAUCAGAAUUUCAUUUUUUUCAUUAGUUCAACGUUGGGAUAUUUUGUUUUCGUAAUGUGUUUUGCUCGUUGCACUUAAAAUUGGUUCAAGAACUUUUUGCAUAUUUUUUUAAUUCUCGUUGCGUUAUGUUUCAAUAGUUAACACCUUUUUUUCGUUGAAAUUUUAUUCCAAGCUGCAAUGCGCAUUUUGUUAUUAGCCAAGCAUUUUUUAUUAUUAUCGUUGCAUUGUGGAUUUGAUGUUUUAGAUUAAGUGUUGUAUUUUAAUUAGUUCACACAUGUUACUUUAGGACCGUUCAGUUUACUAUUUUCAUUCACUUUAAUGUUGUCUAUUCUGUUCAGCUGUCAUAAUUUAGUUGCAAUGUUGGCUUUAGUGUCCAACUGUUUUAAUUCUGUUUUUACAUUUGUGUUUUCAUUUAGUUCAUUUGCAUUCACAAACUCUUCACCAACCCCCUACUACGUGUUUGACCAAAUUCUCGAACCACAUUUGGUUCUUGAGAGACGACCUAGAAGUCACUUCCUAGUCUAUACUGCAUUCUUAUUGCACAUUAAAUUUGACUCGGGUGCGACACCGAUCAAAUUUUGGCGUCGUUGUCGGGGACCAACGGUUCGGUCUUAGGUAUUUUGUUGUGUUAGUGUGUGUUGUGUUUUAUCUUGUGCUGUGAGUGUGUUGUUCUAUUUUGUGUGUGUUGUCAUGUGUAUUGCAUAUAGAUAGUUUUAGUUGCAUAUUUUCAUUGCAUUCUUCUUUUCCCCCUGCUUUCACCAUGUCUACUUAUUUUGAUUAUGAACAUAUUGUUUCUUCUGCCUGUGCCUAUAAUUAUGAUUCUCCUUGUGCAUGUUACUAUGAUUAUGGUUCUCAUGCUGAUUUCUAUGUUAAGAACAAUAUGACUCAUCCUCCCACUUGUGAGAGUGCACACUGGGAGCCAGUUACAUCAAAU